This 468-nucleotide ribosomal RNA is filed under the name uncultured bacterium. Its description in RNAcentral is "partial 16S ribosomal RNA". It matches the Rfam family "Bacterial small subunit ribosomal RNA", at positions 28 to 507 of the family's 1533-position model. The record is from RNAcentral.
GACGAACGCUGGCGGCGUGCUUAACACAUGCAAGUCGAACGGAAAGGCCCUGCUUUUGUGGGGUGCUCGAGUGGCGAACGAGUGAGUAACACGUGAGUAACCUGCCCUUGACUUUGGGAUAACUUCAGGAAACUGGGGGUAAUACCGGAUAGGAGCUCCUGCUGCAUGGUGGGGGUUGGAAAGUUUCGGCGGUUGGGGAUGGACUCGCGGCUUAUCCGCUUGUUGGUGGGGUAGUGGCUUACCAAGGCUUUGACGGGUAGCCGGCCUGAGAGGGUGACCGGCGACAUUGGGACUGAGAUACGGCCCAGACUCCUACGGGAGGCAGCAGUGGGGAAUAUUGCACAAUGGGCGGAAGCCUGAUGCAGCAACGCCGCGUGCGGGAUGACGGCCUUCGGGUUGUAAACCGCUUUCGCCUGUGACGAAGCGUGAGUGACGGUAAUGGGUAAAGAAGCACCGGCUAACUACGUG